This 29-nucleotide non-coding RNA is filed under the name Rattus norvegicus (Norway rat). Lineage: Eukaryota; Metazoa; Chordata; Mammalia; Rodentia; Muridae. The record is from RNAcentral.
GAGAGGUGUAAUCUCCUUUCUCCUGAACC